UCACACUCAAAUCAAUUUUGGUAACAUAUCCAGUAUUUAUAUGGUCUUGAGGUAAUAAAAUUCAACAUAAACUCUCACACUCAAAGCCGCUUGAUUGCUCUAAAGAAGACUCGCCAUUAAUGGAAGCCAAAGAAUUUAUCGGGCUCUUUGAUUCCUGCUGGUUUGAGAUGGAAAUUCUCAAGAAUCAAUCACGUUUAUUGAAAUCAUCAGAUGCUGAUGCCAACCCAGUUCACCAAAAUCAGGAAGAAGCAUCAAAACCAGAGCUUUACAGAGUGCCAACGAUUAUUUCAAGGUCCAUGAGUGAUCAGUUGUGGCCCAAAGCAAGCUUCGGCUCUGGUUUAUCUCUCUCUCCGGACUCAGUCCUCCCCACGUCAAAGCUCCAAACAAUCCUUUCAGACAUGGAGAUAGAAGAAGAGGGAAUACAAACACAAAGACCAUAUGUACAAGAAUCGCAUACGAGGAAGACGAGAAGCAGGAGACCAGAGAAGAAAACGUUGAGCAAGAGUCUAUCAGAAUUGGAAUUUGAAGAGCUGAAAGGGUUUAUGGAUUUGGGAUUUGUGUUUUCUGAGGAAGACAAGGAUUCAAGCUUAGUUUCAAUAAUUCCAGGGUUGCAAAGACUUGGAAAAAAAGAUAGCGAAGAAGAGAGUGGCGGUGUUGAUGAAGCCGCAGUUUCAAGGCCAUAUCUUUCAGAAGCAUGGCAUGGUUUGGAGAGGAGAAAGAAAGAGGAUUCCCUGAUAAAUUGGAGAUUGCCUGCUUUGAGGAAUGAGAUGGACAUGAAAGAUAAUCUUAGAUGGUGGGCUCAUACUGUUGCAUCUACUCUUAGAUUAACAUAAGUUUUCAGAUUCUGAUCUUCCUCUUCUUGUUACUCAGAUCUUAGUUAUCAUUUUUUUUUCCGUUUCAGUUGUUUUCGGGUUAAUUCAUGGCUGAUAUGUGAUGUAAUUGACCUGUUUCUACAGAAAUAUUUUGAGCAUUAGUUUGAAAAGUUUAAUACGAAAAGAAAAGCAGAAGAUUAUUCAUUUAGGUUUGGUUUGAUGACGAGAUAUUCUUUUUAUUUAUUUAUUUAUUCUAAUUGCACUUUUGCAGGAAGAUAUUACACUUGUUCAACUGUCUUGGAUGGUUUGGUUUCAGUGAUUCACUCGGUGAUUAGACCCCGAUGGUUUGCUUUCAGUGAUUUUUUUUUUUUUUUAACAAUGCUUUAUAGAAUUUUACAAGGCUACAACCACCAGGCAGGGGUUGAGUUCACCAGGCAGGGGUUGAGUUUUAGGGAUAUUACAGAUGCGUCUGUUUGAAAAAAAAUAUAUUUAGAAUAAUUUUUUUAUAUUAAAAAAUAUUUUUUAUUCAUUAAAUUUUAUUUUCAUCACUUAACGGUUAAAAUUAAUGGAGAGACUAACUAGUAGACUUUUUAAAAAUUGAAGAAUAUAUUAAUACAUUUAUUUUUAAAAUUGAGAGAUUAACUAAUGAAUUUUUCUAUAUUAUAGAGACCAAAUAAUUUUUUUUUAUUAUAAUAUCAUAUAUUUUGUAAAAAUAAUCUAUUAUUCAUUUUUAUGCGUAACUAUUUAUAAAAUAUUUAUAUUUAUAUUUUAUUAUUAAAUAUCAUAUUUCAGAAAAAUAUUUUACUACUUAUUUUUGUAUAUAAAUUUAUUUUAUACAAACAGUUUUAAAAAAAGAUUUUUCGACUUUUAACCUCUCUUUUUUGUUAUAUUAUCUUAGUCAAACGUUAUUGUGUAAAACUUCUGACGAAAUCUAAUUAGUCUUUUAUCAUAUUGGUAUCAUAACGAAGUUCGUCCAUGGCAGACAAUCAAGAGGCGCGACUUGCUGCAAUUGUGGCAUUUUUGACAGAAUUGAAGGAGAUAAUCGGACAGUUAGCCCUGCAAUAGGGAAUCUACCAACCCAACGCCGUCGAACGCCCCAGCCAGUUUCAAAUUUUGUGGUCUCCAAUCCUGUGCUUGCAAAUCCCUAACAGAAUUAUCAGGAAGGUUACAAGAUAAAGAUAGACCUUCAAAAUUUUUCUGGUUCGUUGGAUGUAGAAUCUGUUCUUGAUUGGUUGGUGGAGGUUGACCGUUUCUUUAAAGUUAUGAACGUGGAAGAGGAUCGAAAGGUUUCGAUUCUGGCCUAUAAAUUAAAAGGGAGUGCAGCAGCCUGGUAGAAUUCGGUUCAAAACGAACGCUAUCGGAGGAGGCUAGAACCCAUACGAAACUGGGUGUUGAUGAAGUAGAUGAUUAAAAUAGCGAUUCUUGCCUAGUGAUCAUGCUCAGGUUUUGUAUAGCCGGUAUCAUGACUGUGUACAAGGGAAUCGAAGGGUGGAUGAAUAUACCGAGGAGUUUUUGAGAUUGCAGGCGAGAUGUGAAAACUGUGAGAAUGAAGCCUAAUAGGUUGCUCAUUAUUAGAGGGACCUGAAUCACGAAAUUCGCUGUAUGAUGGGAGUAGCUGCGAUUUUUACUUUGGUAGAUGCCAUUGAGAUGGCAAAAAGGACAGAAGAGCCUGUUGAUUUGCAGCCACGACAGCAGUAUAACCGAAAUUUUAAUUACAAAAAUUUUGAUUCGACAGGGAUGCAGUAAUAUAGAGGCAAUUACGACGGGCAACCUCUUAAGGUUGUAAAUUCUAGCAAUCCUCAGAAUAUUACGGAAGAAAGGUGAGACAGCAAGGGAAAAGUAGUUGCCACUACAGCAGACAAAGGAGACAAAACCAAUCCUUAUCAAAAGUCAACGGGAGACAUAUAUUACCACUGCAGGCAACCUGGUCAUCGAUCGAACAAUUGUCCAGAACGUAGAAGAGUUAAUAAUGAUCGCUGACAAGUUAAUAUGGUUGACCAAGUGGCUGAAUCUGAGGAGAAAGUGGAUGACGAUAACGGAUCUAUUGGUAGUUCUGAAGAUGUAGAGGUCUAGUGAAGAAAAUCUUAUGCUCAAAAAAACAGGAGGAUGAGACGCAAAGGAGGAAGAUUUUUCAUGCAAAGUGUCGAGUUAGAGAAGCAAUUUAUAGGCUAAUUAUAGAUAGCUGCAGUUGCGAGAAUCUGAUAGCUAAUCAAUUGGUGGAGAAAUUGCAGUUACCUACUCAGCCGCACCCUUCAUCAUUCAAAGUUGGAUGGAUUAAGAAAGGUCCGAAAAAUGAGGUCAACAGAAUCUGCAGUGUGUCUAUCUCGAUCGGUAAAUCUUACACUGAACUUGUUAAUUGUGAUGUUGUGGAUAUGGAUUACUGUGAAAUUUUACUAGGUCGCCCUUGGCAGUUUUAUAUUGAUGCUUUGCAUAAGGAGAAGGAGAAUUCAUACAUGUUCACAUGGAAUCAAAAGAAAAUUACUAUUUUGCCUUCCGGUUCUACGAAACAUUCUAAAGUGGAAGGGAAGAAUGUUGUUGCUGUUUCCACGGGAGUGCAAAGACUAUCAGGCGCAGUUGAGAAAUCUGGAGACAUACUGGCUUUAUUGGUGAGCAAUAGGCACAACGGAGGAUGCACCAUCUUUACUACCAUCCCUCAAAGAACUGUUGAAGGAGUUUCCUAGGAUAGUGGAGGAAUCCUCCAAGCUCCCACCUUUGCGGGAUAUCCAACAUCAGAUUGAUCUCAUUCCUAGAUCAAAAUUAUCGAAUCUGCUUCAUUACAAAAUGAGUCCAAAGAAGAGUGAGAUCCUCCAAGAACAGGUUGAAGAAUUAUUGAAGAAGGGGCAUAUUCGGAAGAGCAUUAGCCCCUACGGAGUACCUGCCCUAUUAGUUCCAAAGAAAGAUGGGACUUGGAGAAUGUGCGUGAAUAGUAGGGCCAUCAACAAAAUUACAGUUCAGUAUCGAUUUCUGAUUCCACGAUUGGAUGACAUGCUAGAUCAGCUAUCCAGGUCUAAAGUCUUCUCUAAGAUCAACCUUGAAAGCGGUUAUCACCAAGUUCGGAUUAAGGAGGGAGAUGAAUGGAAGACAGCCUUCAAGACUAAGGAAGGCUUGUACGAGUGUCUGGUUAUGCCCUUUGGUUUCAUGAAUGCACCUAGCAUUUUAUGCGACUUAUGAACCAGGUUUUGUGUCCUUUCUUAUGCAAAUUUAUAGUUGUUUAUUUUGAUGACAUCUUGAUUUUUAGUCACAGCAAAGAAGAACAUUUACAGCAUCUUUACCAAGUCAUGACAGCCUUGUAAGAAAGUGAGCUGGUUAUUAAUCUAAAUAAAUGAAUUUAUAUGACAGAGCACGUUAUGUUUCUGGGAUUUAUUGUUAGUUCAGAAGGGAUACAUGUUGAUGAGAAGAAGGUAGAAGCAAUACAGAAUUGGCCCACUCCCAAAACUAUUUCUGAAGUUCGCGGCUUUCGUGGCCUUGGUACUUUCUAUCAACAGUUUAUCAGAAAUUUCAGCAGCAUCGUUGCCCCUAUCACAAAUUGCUUUAAGAAAGAGAGAGUACAGAAAUUUGCUUGGACUGACACAGCCAACAAGAGUUUUGAAGAGAUUAAAGAUAAGCUUACUUCUGCCCCCAUUCUUGCUCUACCCAAUUUUGAUAAACUGUUUGAGGUUGAAUGUGAUGCUUGUGGAGUUGGAAUUGGCGGAAUGUUAUCACAGUCUAAAAGGCCUAUUGCCUUCUUUAGUGAGAAAUUGAAUGAAGUUAGGAAGAAGUGGUCUACUUAUGAGCAGGAGUUAUAUGCCGUAUUCUGGGCUUUUAAAACUUAGGAGCAGUAUCUGAUGGGGCGAGAGUUUAUUAUUCACACAGAUCAUCAAUCUCUAAUCCACUUUAAAACUCAAAAACAUGUGAAUAAGAUGCAUGCUCAAUGGGCAGCUUAUUUUGGAGCCUUUCAUUAUGUCAUAAACACAUAAGGCUGGCCAUAGUAAUAAGGUGGUAGAUGUUUUGAGUAGGAGGGCUGCUCUGUUGAUUACAGUUAAUCAAGAGGUUAUAGGUUUUGAAUUUCUGAAGGAUUUGUAUGCUAUAGAUAAUGAAUUUGCUGAUAUAUGGGCUAAAGUCCAGGCUCAUCAGUCUGUUAAUGGGUUCUUAAUACAUGAUGGCUUUCUUUUUAAGGAAAACAGGUUAUGCAUUCCUUGAUCUUCUCUGUAGGAAAAACUGAUUUCAGAGGUCCAUGAAGAAGGUUUGAAUGGCCAUUUUGAGCGUGAUAAGACUAUUGUUGGUUUGAGGAGCGGUUUUACUGGCCAUAAUUAAAAAAGAAUACAGGUCGGAAGGUCCAUAAGUGCUCAGUUUGUCAAACUCAGAAGGGUCAUUCGCAGAAUAUGGGCUUAUACACUCCACUGUCUAUUCCAGCAUAUCCUUAGGAGGACUUGUCUAUGAUCUGAUUUCAUUUUUGUUGUUGUUGAUAGGUUCUGCAAAAUGGCGCAUUUCAUUCCUUGUAAGAAAACUAAUGAUGCUUCUCAUGUUGCAAAACUGUUUUUCCAGAAGAUUGUUCGCUUACAUGGCGUUUCUAAGACCAUUACUUCCAAUAGAGAUGUGAAGUUUCUAGCUCACUUCUGGGUGACUUUAUGAAAAUAUUUUGGAACUGAAUUUCGAUAAAGCAAUGAUGUCCAUCCCCAAAUUGAUGGACAAAUGGAAGUGGUAAACCGCACGCUUGGCAAUCUUCUGCGCUACAUAUGCAGUAAUAAGAAAACUGUUUAGGAUCUUACUCUUGCCCAAGCAGAAUUUGCUUACAACAGUGCUGUCCACAACUCAAAAAAGAUGUCACCCUUUGCAAUUGUGUACAGGAAAAUCUCAGUGCAUACAGUUGAUCUUAUUGCCUUUCCUACAAGUUCUCACAACAGUAUUACAGCAAGCAACUUGGCAAAACAACAUGUGGAUAUUUUCAAACAGGUACAACAAUGCCUUACAAAAGCCAAUGAAAAAUAUAAAACUACAGCUGAUAAACAUAGGAAUUUCAAUUUCGUCAAUGUCAGUGACCAAGUUAAGGUGUAUUUACGCAAUAAACGUGAUGGAGGACAGAAAAAGUUUGACUCCAAGAAGAUUGGUUCAUUCUAGAUCAUUCAGAAGAUUAAUGACAACGCUUAUGUUCUUGACCUCCCAAAUGAGAUGAAAAUUUUCAAGACGUUUAAUGUAGUGGAUCUAUUUCAGUACUACCCUGCUGAUGACAACUCGAGGUCAAGUUCUUUACAAAUGGAAGGGAAUGACAUGGAGCAACUAGCCUUGGACUUGACGGUAGACUUGGACUGGACCUAACUUUUGCUGUCAACGUCCGAUGGAGACCCAUGAUAGCUUUUCGGAAAGAAAAUUUUGAGAUACACGAAUUUCAAAAGUGUGAUAAGAGCUACGGGCCUAUCACAAAGUUCGAUAUGAAAAUUCUACCGUUUAGGGGGUCAAUUUUGCAUUUUAAUUAUUUUUUUAGAUAUUUUUGUAAUUUUGUAUAUUAGGGUUUUUUCUAUUAUAAAUAGUCUUUCCUUGGCUAUUUGAAACUCACUUUUCAAUCUUUCAAGAAUUUCAAUAAGAUUUUUCGGCUUUUAGCUUCUUUUUUCUGUUAUAUCGUCUUAGCCAAACGUUAUUGGUUAAAACUUUUGACAGAGUCUAAUAAGUCCUUUAUUACUAAAGCUCUAAACCAUUCCUUACAUUCUCUAUACUCGUCAAUACUGACUUGAGUAUCGGAGUGACUGCCGUGAGUAUCCACCACCACCUCAUGUUUUCUUCCUUACAGGUUCUAGCCAAUCAUAGCCCAAUCCCAUUUCGGCCACGUCAUCAAUCUAAUCUCAGCGACAUUAAUUUUAAUAUAUUUUCAAAAUCAAUAAACACCCAUUAAAUAUAAAACAUUCAAGAGAUUAAACUAACAAAAUAACUAUUUAGUAGAUUUUUUUUAAAUUUUAGUGAUAUUUUUAUGUAUUUUUUAAAAUAUAUAGAGACUUAUCAAUGAGUUUCCUCUUACCAUAAAGAUAAAAUGCAUCUGACUUAGUUGUUUUCAACAAUAAUAAUGACUCGCGGUUGUCGAAGCCGGUCAAAAAUAACCUUUCUGGUUAUCAAUAAUUUACAACUGCAGAUAGUGGUGAAAGGAUCGAAUCCACAGAGAAUUGAAUACUUACCUAUUUUUCUUAUCAAGACCAAGAGAAUUAACUGAAACAAAAAUAAACUGAAACAAAAAUAAAACUGAAAGAGAAAUAAACUUAAAGCAAAUAUAACUGAAAGAGAAAUAAACUGAAACGAGAUAAAAUUGAAAGCAAAAAUAACUGAAAUGAGAUAAAACUGAAAUGAGAUAAAACUGAAACGAGAUAAAACUGAAACCAAAUAACUGAAAGUAAAAUGGGGGGUUUUGAGAUUGAUUUAAUUAAGCAACUACUGAAAGCAAUAAAGUAAAACGAAUAAUAAAAAUAAAUGAGAAAUAAAUAAUAAGAAAGCUCUAGUUGAAGAAUUGGAUCCACUUCAAUUGUUGGGAUUGGUCAUUGACACUUAGUUUCUUUUGAUUGAUUCAAUAGAUUAGUUAUGGAGAUGGAAGACGCUUCUCACCACCAUGUCUCUCCUUAUGAUUAAACCAAUUAGAGAACGUCCUCUAAUUAUUUACUAAUUAACAAAUUGUCAAGGAACGUCCUUGGACUUUAGGCAUCAAAACAAUUGUUAAUUGCAUGAAGAGAUAGAGAGAUCCAAUCCUAACUACUCAAACGCAUGAGAUAUCGUUAGAUCAUACAAUUUCCUUAGUUUUUACACCAAGUGUUCUUAUGUUUGAAUAAUCCAAGCAAUUACGGACUUAAAUCAUCCAAACUAACAUAUUAUUACUUUGCAAUCAAGAAUCAACGUAGAUCUAAACAACAAAGCAAUAUUGAAAUCAAGCAUGAAAUUGCACAAAUAUUGAACAACCAAAAGUUAAACAAUGUUUGAUCAAGUCUCCCAAUUCAUAAAACAACUAAAGCAUCACCUAAUCUUCAACUAGAAUAAAAGGUUUCAGCCUCUCAUGGCUGAAACAAAACCAAAAAUAAAAGAAAGAAGAAAGGUAGAAGAAGAGAUGUGAAUCCCGUAGGUGUCUCCAAGGUGGUGUGUAAAAGCUGUGUGGAGGCUCCUUAUGUGUCUUCUUAUAGUUGAAAGUGUUGCCCUAGGUCUCCUUGCUAUCCAAGAGACUGCCCAAGAGGUGCUUGCUGCCCAAGUUGCAUCUGAAAAGGAAAGAAUCGCGUUUGGUAUUUCAGAAGAGGAAGGAUGCGCGCCUUGGCCUUCAGAAGGCAAGUGGCGUGCGCAUGGACUGCAGAAGAGGAAGGAGAGCGUGCAGUCAUUAAUGUGCAGAGGUGGAAAGAAAUCUGUCCAGUCUUUCCUUUUUAGGUGGAGCCUUCGUUUGAAUUUUGAAUGCUGAAUGAAGAAGAGGCAAGUGCAUCUCCUUGAAAUCUUGCUGCCUAAAUAGGAAGAUUUGACUGCUGCAGUGUGUGCAUAUCUUUGAAUGAGGAAAGAAAGAUCUGCGAUUUGAAUUUCAAAUAAUUUUCUGACUGAGCUUUCCUUAUUUGCUUUUGCUUCUGCACUUCCUUUAUUUGAGGACUUUCAUUUUCUGAAAACUUUCCUUAUUUGACACUUUCCAUAAUUAGCUUUACCUUCUGAAUAAGGAAAGAAGAAUCUGCAAUUUGAAUUUCAAAAAAUCUAUUGAUUGCGCUUUCCUUUUCUGGCACUUUCCUUAUUAGAAAACUUUACUUAUUUAGCACUUUUCAUAUUUGAAAACUUUCUUUUUUUGGCACUUUCCAUAUUUGACACUUUUUGGCAGUUUUAAGAGUAUUUUCUCCAGAUUGUCUUUUUACACCUAAUAUCUGCAAAAUAUGAUUAAAACCACAAAAUUAGGUAGAAAAGGUGUAAAUAAACAUCAAUAAUAUCAUGAUAAAAUGGGCUAAAUUAUGUUCUAUCAAAUAACUAAACAACUUAGAUAUUACUAUUUAAAUAUGAAACAGCUUAGAUAGAGACCCAUUUAUAAGAAUUAAACUCUUUUUUGUAUAUGAUUUUUCGAACUCAAAUCGUGUCCUUCUCUUUUAACUAUCAGGAUAAGAAAGACGGAAAAUAAAAGUAAAAAACUAAGACCCAAUGCCACACGCUUAAAAUAAAAUAUUAAAAUUAAAUCAAAACGGGAAAUGCCAAUGGAAUAUUUGAAUCUUUUGUGUAAUAAACAACUAUUCUGAAGGGCAAUUUUGGUAACAUAUCCGGUAAUUAUAUGGUCUUGGGGUAAUAAAAUUCAACAUAAACUCUCACACCCAAAGCAAUUUUGGUAACAUAUUCAGUAUUUAUAUGGUCUUGGGGUAAUAAAAUUCAACAUAAACUCUCACACUCAAAGCCGCUUGUUUGCUCUAAAGAAGACUUGCCAUUAAUGGAAGCCAAAGAAUUUAUCCACCUCUUUAAUUCCUGCUGGUUUGAGAUGGAAAUUCUCGAGAAUUAAUCACGCUUAUUGAAAUCAUCAGAUGCUGAUGCCAACCCAGUUCACCAAAAUCAGGAAGAAGCAUCAAAACCAGAGCUUUACAGAGUGCCAACGAUUAUUUCAAGGUCCAUGAGUGAUCAGUUGUGGCCCAAAGCAAGCUUCGGCUCUGGUUUAUCUCUCUCUCCGGACUCAGUCCUCCCCACGUCAAAGCUCCAAACAAUCCUUUUAGACAUGGAGAUAGAAGAAGACGAAAUACAAACACAAAGACCAUAUGUACAAAAAUCGCAUACGAGGAAGACGAGAAGUAGGAGACCAGAGAAGAGAACAUUGAGCAAAAGUCUAUCAGAAUUGGAAUUUGAAGAGUUGAAAGGGUUUAUGGAUUUGGGAUUUGUGUUUUCUGAGGAAGACAAGGAUUCAAGCUUAGUUUCAAUAAUUCCAGGGUUGCAAAGACUUGGAAAAAAAGAUGGCAAAGAAGAGAGUGGCGGUGUUGAUGAAGCCACAGUUUCAAGGCCAAUGCGGUCCUAGUGAAAAAAGCUAACGGAAAGUGGAGAAUGUGCAGAUUUCACUGACCUAAAUAAAGCAUAUCCAAAAGAUCAUUACCUAUUGUCGUCCAUCAACAGAUUAGUGGACUCGACCUUAAGUCAUACGGUAGUCUCUUUCCUUGAUAUUAUCUCAGGAUAUUAAUCAAAUCAUGUUGGAUACUGAGAACGCAGAAAAGAUCGCAUUUAUAACAGACAAAGGAGUUUACUGCUACAAGAUAAUCCCUUUUAAUUUAAAAAUGCAGGAGCCACGUACCAAAGGUUGGUGUCAGGGAUCUUUAAGGACAUAGUGGGAUCAACCACCGAAGUAUACUUAGACGACAUGGUGGUAAAAAACUUAUCAUUGGAAGAACACUCGGAGGAUAUUCGGAGAGCCUUUGAUGUCUUGGACAAGAUGGGCAUGAAACUGAACCCGGAAAAGUGUACCUUUAGGGUAAAGGCUGGAAAGUUCCUAAGAUAUAUCAUCUUAGAAAGGGGUAUAGAAGUGAAUACUGAGAAAAUCAGCGCUAUCCAAAACAUGGAAGCACCCAAAACUAUCAACGGAAUACAGAGGUUAAAUGGGUGAGUCAUUGCCCUAGGACGAUUCAUAUCAUUCUCGGUCAGAAGGUGUCUCCCAUUCUUUAAAGUCUUAAAAGGCAAAUGUAAGUUUGAAUGGGGGAAGAGUGUGCAGACACUCAGUCCGACGUCAAGACUCACCCUUCCCUCAAAUGGGCAAGUCUCGGCACAAGGUUACUAUUAACAUACAUAAUCCAGUAUAUACCCAUUGCACCUAUAAUCGUGGGAUUGUCAACUUAUUAGCUGGCAAUAUCCCUUAUUAAGCAGACAGCCACAUCAUCGCUGAAUUAUUAGAAAAUUCUAUAUUUAUCACCAUCUUCCUACAAUAUAAAAGAAGAACGAUCACAGCGGCAAAUGUACGUUAAUAAGCAAUUUCUUGCAUUCUUUAUACUCGUUGAUACUGACUUGAGUGUCGGAGUGACUACCGUGGGCACCCACUACCACCUCAUGUUUUCUUUCUUACAGGUUCUAGCCAAUCACAACUCAGUCCCAUUUCGAACACAUCAUCAAUCUAAACUCAACAAUAUCAAUUUUAAUAGAUUUUACAAAAUCAAUAGAGACCCAUUAAAUAUAAAACAUUCAAAGGUUCAAAUUAACAGAAAAACUAAUUAGUAGAUUUUUUUAAAAAUUUUAGUGAUAUUUUUAUGUAUUUUUCAAAAUCAAUAGAGAUCCAUUAAAUAUAAAACAUUCAAGAGUUCAAACUAACAAAAUAACUAAUUAGUAGAUUUUUUUUUAAAUUUUAGUGAUAUUUUUAUAUAUUUUUUAAAAUCAAUAGAAACCUAUUAAUAAGCUCCCUUAUACCAUAGAAAUAAAAUGCAUCUGACUCGGUUAUUUUCAACAACGAUAACUAAACAACGUAGAUAUUACCUGUAACGACCCGAAAACCGGACUACCACCGGCGCUAUGAUCCAGACCGGUUUAAGGCCGCCGAAACCCGUAGCAAGCCUAACAUACAACCUGUAUACCUGAUAAAUCCCAUACAUGAUCAACAUAUACAUAAAACUUAAAACUUUCUCUUUCAUUUACCAAACUCAACCUGUGCAUGCACAACUCAUAAGUAUAACCAUCAACCCCACACUGGAGUCCUCAUCAAUGCUCUAAUGGGGUAACAUAACAUAUAUUAAAUUUGGUUUACAUAAACAUUGUUAAAACAUUUUAUAGAUCAUGUAUCAAAGGGAAUAACCAUACACAUAGGGUCAAGCACAAUUCUAAUCCUCAACAUCAAUAUUACAUGACUAAUCAAUACUUUACAAUUCAUCUAUUUCAAAAAAAAAAAAAAAAAACUUUACAAUUCAUCAUGCCCACAUCUAACUAUUACAUAAACAUAACUUUACUCUUCUUGACCUCUUGGCCUAUCCCGUACCUGCAUACCUGGGGGAUUAGGGAAAUGGGGUGAGCUACUAGAACCCAGUGAGCAGAAUAAUAAAACAGUUAAAACAUAUGCUAUAAUGGAAUGCAUCACAUCACAGACAAAUCACAUCAAGGAUGGACUUGUCACCAGUAGUCCUCUACAUAGUCCAACUGUGCCAGGGGUGUAGAAUGGGCCUCACUGGUCUUUCUCUUACAUUACAUAAUAUAACAUUCCAACUGUGCCAUAGGCGUAGAAUGGGCCUCACUGGUCUUUCUCUUACAUUGUGCCAUGGGCGUAGAAUGGGUCUCACCGGUCUUCCAUACCGUAUCAUCAUCAUAUCAUAUCAUACGAGGACUAAAGGAUCAUCCAACAUCCAUCCACAUCAACAUCAAAUAAUGCAAUGCAACAUAUUCGUGAAUUCUAAUGCAAGCAUCCUAAUGUAUCUCAUGGCAUUCAUGAUGCGUGAAUCAUGUCAAAACUUUCAUUAUUUGCUUUGAAAUGUAAAGAGUCAUUCUACUCACCUCAGGCUAGCUCUGACAAGACACUGAAGCAACUGUCUCACUGCUGGGGUCCUCGGUUCCUCGGGUCCGAACCUACACAGGUGGACUCAAAUGAUGAACCAAACAUACUUGAACAUGACUCUAAAAUACUCCCCAAAAACCCCCUAAAACACAUUAAAACAAUCAUACAAAUCAUGCAAAGGAAGGCUGAACAGGGCACUUUCGGCGGCAGGUUCGGUGGCCAAAAGUCCCUCCAAAGCCGAAAGUCAUGCACCUUCGGCGGCACUUUCGGCGGCCGAAGGUUCCUUCCAGAGAUGAAACUCAUGCAUGUUCGGCGGCACCUUCGGCGGCCGAAACUCCCUUCUAGAGCCGAAAGUCCACUUUCGGGGGCAGGGUUCGGCAGCCAAAGGCUUGCCUCCACAGGCAGGUUCGGCGGCCGAAAGUCCCUUCGGCUGCCGAACCUGAGUUCUUCCAAAGGGCAGAACUCAGCCUCCACAAUGCACAUUUGUCUCCCAAACCAUUAAAUCAUGCAUUUACCUAUUCUACAACAAGCAAACUCAAGCCAACAAGUAUAUAGGGGUCUCAAACUAACCUAAACCCCAACUAAAACACAUCAAACAUACAUAUACAACACACAUUGCCCAUAUGCUCAUCAUUAAUAAAAAAACUCAAUAUUAACCUAAACAUGCAUUUCUACCCCAUAAACUUUCAUAAAACUUGUUUAAAACAUGAAAUGAGCUAAGGAUCUACUCUUACCUCUUGAAGAUCGAGAGGAGAGGCGAUCCAACUCGGAGAUAGGAGAGAUCGAGCUCCUUGGGUCUCCAAGCUCUAAAACUUGCUCUUUUGCUCAAAUGUCUUCAAACCAAGAUAAAACUUAUUAAAACUCGAAAGAUUUGAGGAAAAACACCAAAAAUCAACCAUGGGAGAGCAUGGACUCACCGUUGGCCGAAAAUGGGGAGAAAGCUCGCCCGUUUCGGCCAUGGAGCCCUUAUAUAGGGGCUGGCCAGACCACCCUUCGGCAGCCUAAAGUGCCUUCAAAACUCAUGCAAGUUCGGCGGCCAAACAUAGGGUUCGGCGGCCGAACCUGAGCCACUUUCGGAAGCCUAACUUGCUCCCCUAAACUAUCCCAUGUUCGGCGGCCGAACCUGGAAAUGUCUCCAUGGUCUUUUUCAUUAAAAACUCAGUUUCUUUCUUACUUAAAAAUCAUAAAAUACAUUAAAACAUUUUAUAAAAACAUUAUUUUACCGUUCUAGAGGUUUCCGACAUCCGAGAUUCCACCGGACGGUAGGAAUUCCGAUACCGGAGUCUAGCCUGGUAUUACAUUAUCAUUCAAAUAUAAAACUUACAUGUUGAUAACAGUCAUACCAAUGAUUUAAUUCUAAUUCAAUAGGUUGCAAAUACUUAAUUAUAUUUAAGAUAAAAAUAAAAAAAUCAAAAUUUUAAAAUUUAGAGACAGAAUGGCCGGUUAUUUUUAAGAACAAUAGCUAAAAAAAAUUUGAUAUUACUAUUUGAAUUUAAAACCGACACGUUGAUACUCAAAAUUUUAAUAGCCAUAUAAAAGAUAUUUUAAAAGGUAUUUAAUCUUCAUUUCUGUCAACUCCCAUCAUCUUUCUUUAGCUGAAUGCAUUUAUUUCUCUGAUACUCUCUUUGCAAUUAUGAAGUAUGGCUAAACAAUAUUCUAUUUAUAUUGAACCUAAUGCUUUAAUAGUUUGGCUUAUGGGGAAAUACACUUUAAAACUUUUGACAUGUUAAUUUUUUUUAAAAUAGAGGACUAAAAAUUUGAGAGUAGAAUUCGAGACUUUUCAAAUGCACUUUAUCAUCGGAUUAAGUCUGUAAAUACGACACGUUAACUUUUAUCAAUUCAAUUUUUACCCAUACUAUUAUUUGCGAAUAGAAAAAAUAUUAUUUUUAUUUUUUAUAUGAUUUUUUGAACUUAAAUCGUGUUCUCUUUUAACUAUAUUGAAUAAGGAACACGGAAAAUAAAAAUAAAAAUAAAAAAUAAAAACCAAAUGCCACACGAUCAAAAGAAAAUGUUAAAAUUAAAUCAAAACGUGGGAAUAUCAAUGGAAUAUUUGAAUCUUUUGUGUAAUAAACAAGUAAUCUGAAGGGCAAUUUUGGUAACAUGUGCAGUAUUUGUAUGGUCUUGGAGUAAUAAAAUUCAACAUAAACUCUCACACUCAAAGCAAUUUUGAUAACAUAUCCAGUAUUUAUAUGGUCUUGGGGUAAUAAAAUUCAACAUAAACUCUCACACUCAAAGCCGCUUGUUUGCUCUAAAGAAGACUCGCCAUUAAUGGAAGCCAAAGAUUUUAUCCACCUCUUUAAUUCCUGCUGGUUUGAGAUGGAAAUUCUCAAGAAUCAAUCACGUUUAUUGAAAUCAUCAGAUGCUGAUGCCAACCCAGUUCACCAAAAUCAGGAAGAAGCAUCAAAACCAGAGCUUUACAGAGUGCCAACGAUUAUUUC
Molecule: long non-coding RNA, 14651 nt
Filed under: Manihot esculenta (cassava)
Lineage: Eukaryota; Viridiplantae; Streptophyta; Magnoliopsida; Malpighiales; Euphorbiaceae
Description: long non-coding RNA (MESC_LNC011864)
Source: RNAcentral